UACAGAGGGUGCGAGCGUUGUUCGGAAUUACUGGGCGUAAAGCGUUUGUAGGCGGUGCUGAGAGUCCUAGGUGAAAUCCCUGAGCUCAACUCGGGAACUGCCUAGGAGACCUCAGUACUAGAGUACUGAAGGGGUUACUGGAAUUCCAUGUGUAGCGGUGAAAUGCGUAGAUAUAUGGAGGAACACCUGUGGCGAAGGCGGGUAACUGGUCAGAGACUGACGCUGAGAAACGAAAGCGUGGGGAGCAAACAGG
Molecule: ribosomal RNA, 253 nt
Filed under: uncultured bacterium
Lineage: Bacteria
Description: partial 16S ribosomal RNA
Rfam family: Bacterial small subunit ribosomal RNA
Source: RNAcentral